RNAcentral lists this ribosomal RNA (264 nucleotides) under uncultured bacterium. RNAcentral's name for it is "partial 16S ribosomal RNA". It matches the Rfam family "Bacterial small subunit ribosomal RNA", at positions 534 to 793 of the family's 1533-position model. The record is from RNAcentral.
GCGAGCGUUAAUCGGAAUUACUGGGCGUAAAGCGCAUGCAGGUGGUUUGUUAAGUCAGAUGUGAAAGCCCGGGGCUCAACCUCGGAAUUGCAUUUGAAACUGGCAAACUAGAGUACUGUAGAGGGGGGUAGAAUUUCAGGUGUAGCGGUGAAAUGCGUAGAGAUCUGAAGGAAUACCGGUGGCGAAGGCGGCCCCCUGGACAGAUACUGACACUCAGAUGCGAAAGACGUGGGGAGGGCAAAACAGGAUUAGAUACCCUGGUAG